This 292-nucleotide ribosomal RNA is filed under the name uncultured bacterium. RNAcentral's name for it is "partial 16S ribosomal RNA". It matches the Rfam family "Bacterial small subunit ribosomal RNA", at positions 505 to 796 of the family's 1533-position model. The record is from RNAcentral.
GUGCCAGCCGCCGCGGUAAUACGGAGGGGGUUAGCGUUGUUCGGAAUUACUGGGUGUAAAGCGCGCGUAGGCGGACAUUUAAGUCAGGGGUGAAAUCCCGGGGCUCAACCCCGGAACUGCCCUUGAUACUGGGUGUCUUGAGUUCGAGAGAGGUGAGUGGAAUUCCGAGUGUAGAGGUGAAAUUCGUAGAUAUUCGGAGGAACACCAGUGGCGAAGGCGGCUCACUGGCUCGAUACUGACGCUGAGGUGCGAAAGUGUGGGGAGCAAACAGGAUUAGAUACCCCGGUAGUCC